RNAcentral lists this ribosomal RNA (494 nucleotides) under uncultured bacterium. RNAcentral describes it as "partial 16S ribosomal RNA". It matches the Rfam family "Bacterial small subunit ribosomal RNA", at positions 28 to 507 of the family's 1533-position model. The record is from RNAcentral.
GACGAACGCUGGCGGCGUGCUUAACACAUGCAAGUCGAACGGUGAAGCGCCUUCCUUUUUGGUGGGUGUGGAUGAGUGGCGAACGGGUGAGUAACACGUGAGUAACCUGCCCCCUUCUUCUGGAUAACCGCAUGAAAGUGUGGCUAAUACGGGAUAUUCUGGGUCUGUCGCAUGAUGGGUCUGGGAAAGAUAUUGUUUCGGUGGGGGAUGGGCUCGCGGCCUAUCAGCUUGUUGGUGGGGUGAUGGCCUACCAAGGCGGUGACGGGUAGCCGGCCUGAGAGGGUGGGCGGGCAGACGGGGAGAGAGACCCGGCCGGGACGCCUGCGGGAGGCAGCGGGGGAGAAUAUGGAACAAUGGGCGAAAGGGUGAUGCGGCGGGGCGGCGGGGGGGAUGGAGUCGUGCGUGUGGUGAACCUCUUUCGGCAGUGAAGCAGGCCGCCCUGGUUUGUGGGGGGGUUGACGGUACCUGGAGAAGAAGCGCCGGCUAACUACGUG